GAUGAACGCUGGCGGCGUGCCUAAUACAUGCAAGUAGAACGCUGAAGGAGGAGCUUGCUCUUCUGGAUGAGUUGCGAACGGGUGAGUAACGCGUAGGUAACCUGCCUGGUAGCGGGGGAUAACUAUUGGAAACGAUAGCUAAUACCGCAUGACAACAGUUAUUGCAUGAUAACUGUUUAAAAGGGGCAACUGCUCCACUACCAGAUGGACCUGCGUUGUAUUAGCUAGUUGGUGAGGUAACGGCUCACCAAGGCGACGAUACAUAGCCGACCUGAGAGGGGGUUCGGCCACACUGGGACUGAGACACGGCCCAGACUCCUACGGGAGGCAGCAGUAGGGAAUCUUCGGCAAUGGACGGAAGUCUGACCGAGCAACGCCGCGUGAGUGAAGAAGGUUUUCGGAUCGUAAAGCUCUGUUGUAAGAGAAGAACGAGUGUGAGAGUGGAAAGUUCACACUGUGACGGUAUCUUACCAGAAAGGGACGGCUAACUACGUG
This 495-nucleotide ribosomal RNA is filed under the name uncultured bacterium. RNAcentral describes it as "partial 16S ribosomal RNA". It matches the Rfam family "Bacterial small subunit ribosomal RNA", at positions 28 to 507 of the family's 1533-position model. The record is from RNAcentral.